This is a long non-coding RNA of Bombus huntii, 621 nucleotides long. RefSeq lists it as uncharacterized. The transcript has 2 exons. Lineage: Eukaryota; Metazoa; Arthropoda; Insecta; Hymenoptera; Apidae. The record is from RefSeq and is a predicted model, not a curated record.
AAAGACUCAUUGAAUGAUUUUAUAGUUUAAGGUUAAUAAAUUUCCAUAAAUUAAAGUUGAAAACUUAUGAGAACAUGUUUUCUGUAACAAAACUUAGUAAAAACAAACUAGUAAGGUUUAUAGAUUCUUUAAUGAUUAUGUAUGUAUUCAUAAACUAGUUCGAUAAACAUCGUUCGAUAAAACGUCGAACAACACACAACAUUGAAGCGCGAAAUUUCAAAUUCAAGGAAAGAUAAAUAACAAAUAUUGCGAACAAAUGAUAUUAAAUUUACAAUAAUCUCAUGUAAGAAAAAAUAAAAGGGAUAAAAGUAGUACAGAAGAUAGAAAAAUCUAUAAAACUGGUGGCUGGGAAAUAGAAAAUAUAUAAAUUUAUGUUAUUAGAGUUUAGUACUUCUGUCGAUCAAUGUGUUACGACCGUUCGCGGAGAGACGCAGUCGCAGUAGCGAGAGGCGUAAAUUCUCGCUACGAUUCGGUGAAUCGACGCCGCGAAGUAAUCGUUCCCCUGUUUCGGUUAAGAUAAGAGGUGGUUAAAUGAAUAUGACACAGUAUAGAUAUUGACCGUUCGAAGGAUGUAAAAUCAGAACUGUCUUGGGAGACGAUGCUGUCUCGGAGGAAAGCUAA